GUUGAACGCUGGCGGCGUGCCUAAUACAUGCAAGUCGAGCGAACGGACGAGAAGCUUGCUUUCCUGAUGUUAGCGGCGGACGGGUGAGUAACACGUGGAUAACCUACCUAUAAGACUGGGAUAACUACGGGAAACCGGAGCUCAUAUCGGUUGAUAUUUAGAACCGCAUGGAUCAAAAGUGAAAGACGGUCUAGCUGUCCCUAAUCGAUGGAUCCGCGCUGCAUUAGCUAGUUGGUAAGGUAACGGCUUACCAAGGCAACGAUGCAUAGCCGAUCUGACAGGAUGAGCUGCCACACUGGAACUGAGACACGGUCAUGACUCCUACGGGAGGCAGGAGUAGGGAAUCUUCCGCAAUGGGCGAAAGCCUGACACAGCCAGGCCGCGUGGGUGAGGAAGGUCUUCGGAUCGUAAAACCCUGUAAUUAGGGAGGAAGAUAUGUAAAUGAAUCGGUGCACAUUUUGACGGUACCAAAAGAAAAAGCCACGGCUAACUACGUG
RNAcentral lists this ribosomal RNA (497 nucleotides) under uncultured bacterium. Its description in RNAcentral is "partial 16S ribosomal RNA". It matches the Rfam family "Bacterial small subunit ribosomal RNA", at positions 28 to 507 of the family's 1533-position model. The record is from RNAcentral.